This 224-nucleotide ribosomal RNA is filed under the name uncultured bacterium. RNAcentral's name for it is "partial 16S ribosomal RNA". It matches the Rfam family "Bacterial small subunit ribosomal RNA", at positions 118 to 334 of the family's 1533-position model. The record is from RNAcentral.
UCGGAACGUGUCCCGUAGUGGGGGAUAGCCCGGCGAAAGCCGGGCUAAUACCGCAUAUGCUCUACGGAGGAAAGCGGGGACCCGGCAGGCAACUGAGGGGCCUCGUGCUAUGGGAGCGGCCGAUGUCCGAUUAGCUAGUUGGUGGGGUAAAGGCUUACCAAGGCUUCGAUCGGUAGCUGGUCUGAGAGGAUGAUCAGCCACACUGGGACUGAGACACGGCCCAG